Molecule: small RNA, 137 nt
Filed under: Salmonella enterica
Lineage: Bacteria; Pseudomonadati; Pseudomonadota; Gammaproteobacteria; Enterobacterales; Enterobacteriaceae
Description: RtT sRNA
Rfam family: RtT RNA
About the family: This family represents a bacterial cis-regulatory element known as RtT RNA. The exact function of RtT is unknown although it is thought that it may be involved in changing the cellular response in relation to amino acid starvation.
Source: RNAcentral
UAUCCCCCAAACCAAGGGGGGAUGAGAACCACCGACCGGGGUUCGACAACUGGCGCAGCCAGUUGGACAGACCGGGCGCGCAGCGAACGGACUGCCCGAAGGGCGAGCGCAGCGAGUCAAUCCCCCCCUCACCGCCA